This 30-nucleotide non-coding RNA is filed under the name Rattus norvegicus (Norway rat). The record is from RNAcentral. Lineage: Eukaryota; Metazoa; Chordata; Mammalia; Rodentia; Muridae.
UAGUUAAAGGGCACAUAGUUGUAGCUAGGU